This 253-nucleotide ribosomal RNA is filed under the name uncultured bacterium. RNAcentral's name for it is "partial 16S ribosomal RNA". It matches the Rfam family "Bacterial small subunit ribosomal RNA", at positions 524 to 776 of the family's 1533-position model. The record is from RNAcentral.
UACGUAGGGUGCGAGCGUUGUCCGGAAUUAUUGGGCGUAAAGGGCUCGUAGGCGGUUUGUCGCGUCGGGAGUGAAAACACCGGGCUUAACUCGGUGCUUGCUUUCGAUACGGGCAGACUAGAGGCAUGCAGGGGAGAACGGAAUUCCUGGUGUAGCGGUGAAAUGCGCAGAUAUCAGGAGGAACACCGAUGGCGAAGGCAGAUCUCUGGGCCGUAACUGACGCUGAGGAGCGAAAGCGUGGGGAGCGAACAGG